RNAcentral lists this long non-coding RNA (2142 nucleotides) under Olea europaea subsp. europaea. Lineage: Eukaryota; Viridiplantae; Streptophyta; Magnoliopsida; Lamiales; Oleaceae. The record is from RNAcentral.
GGGACAUGAAGGACAGAAUCUAGUGUUAUAGUCUCAGAAAUACGAAUACUUUCUUUUCUUGUAACAGAUGAUAGUGAGCCAUCUACAAUUUUGACGCUAAUGUUCCCAGGACAAGUAGAGUAUGAAGAAAAGAGGUGAUAUGCAUCCGUCAUGUGAUCGGAUGCAUCGGAGUCUAUAAUCCACACAUUUUUACAUCGUGAAGUGUUUAGAGCUCUAAGGAGGUUACCUUUGUGGGCUAAUAAACUAGAAUGACCUUUAGGAGACGGUUGACCCGAUGUUUGGAAGCUGGCGAACAAUUGAUAAAUUUGUUCAAGUUGUUCGGAAUUGAAUCCACCACUCAAAAUUGGGUUACUCUUAGUUUCUGCUUAAUACCCACGGUUCCUACUAUUUUGCAUCGAUUUCCAAUCGUUGGGCUUCCCAUUAAUUUCUCAACAUGUGUCCAUUUUAUGACCUGGCCUACGACAAUGCUCACACCAAACCUUUCUCGUUGUUUUUGUACUGGCUCAUUUAUUCCUCCCUUUGAAAACCCAAAGCUCCAGAGGCCCAAUUAGUGUUUUCAGUCUCUGGCCCAAGUGUUGGUCCGUUAACUUUACCUCGUCCAAGAAGCCCAUGUUCUGUAGUGUUCACCUGUCCAUUCUUCUUCCCUGCCAAGGCCGAAAUUUCUACUCCAGUGACUUACUUCAACAUCACAUGCUGGCGAGCUUCUUCCCGGCGCACCUUCACAAAUACCUCGCGGAUCGAUGGUAGUAGGCUUCUCCUAAUAUUCGGCGUCUGACCUCGUCCAACUCCCGAUUCAGCCCUGCGAGAAAUUCGAAUACUCUCUCAUGUUCCUGCUACUUGUACAAGGCGACGUCUUCCUUGCACUUUCACUCCUCUUCGCUGCUCAGGUCGAGGUCCUGCCAUAGGGAGGUCAUCUCCAUGAAAUAUUGGAUAACAUCCCGUGUCCCCUGUUUCGUCUGCCAUAGACGGGUCUUAAGUUCGAAGACUUGUGCUGUGUUCCCAACGUCUGAAAAAGUCUCUUUCACGGCAUCCCAGACAUCUUUUGCCGUUGGGAGGAAGAGAUAGGCUUUCCCUAUCGACGGCUUCAUGGAGUUUACAAGCCAAGCGGUUGCCAUUGAAUUUUUAGAAUUCCACCGUUGCAGUUGAGCAGGAUCAGCUGGCUUCUUUGUCUCGCCGGUGAGAUAUCUAAGUUUCCCUUUUCCAUCAAUUAUUAAUUUAAUUGACUGUAAGUUGGAAUGAUGAAGUUUCAGAUGUAUUGGAACCAAUGGAGGAGUGGACCUCUGCUUCGGGGUCGGAGAUGACAGAUCUGGUACUGUGAGAGGGGAAUUCCGCCAUUGACUGCUAGGUUAGAGCAACCUAGGCUCUGACACCAGAAACAAUUAGAGAUUUGAGAAAAUAAAUUCUCUUUCUCAAUACAUUAAUAGCCUUCUCACGUCAGUUUAUAUACACACAAGAGGAAGAAAAUAUGGAAAAACUAAUUUCCUAAUCUAGGAAACAAAUUAGCCUACCAAAUAACAAAAAUAUGUAAUCCCUAAUUAAUUACAAUUACUAUAAUUGGGUUUCUUUCCUUUUUCUUCCCUUGAUCGUUUUCUACACUUUUCCUUCACUCUAUCCCCAAAAAAAGUCUUUCUUGGAGUUUCAAGCUUUAUAUAUAAUCAAAUUACAAAGACCAGUAAUGAAGUAAUUAUUAGAUCAUGAAACUGAUUCUGUUAUCUAUUAGUUUUGUUUAUUCACUAUGAAUAGUUAGAAUUGGUUAGUGUUGAGCUUUCAUAGUUGGUAGUUAAGUGUUGAGCUGUUAUGUAACUAAUUCUGUACACAAGUCAGUCUAUUUUUAUUGCCUUGAUUGAAUUUAGAAACACGAGAUACAUGAAUACAGAGAAUGGAAUUUCUUUCUUCUAGUUCUUCUCUUCAAACUUUGAUAUGGUAUCAGAACAAAUAGCUUGAUUUGCUAUUGUUAUUUUCUUGCCUUCAACUAGUUUAACAUUGAAUGCUACUGUCAUUUUUUCUUCGUUUCCAUGGAAAUCGAAUCUACGUCAUCUUCGAGUUCUGCCAUAGAUGAACCUUUGAAUCCCUAUUAUCUUCAUCACUCUGACAGUCUUGGAUUAGUCCUAGUUUUGCAGCAUCUCAUCAGAGAAAAUUAAG